CGCCACGCCACGCCACGGCGGUGAGGUCAGCGCGCGGCGCGGCUGUUGGCGCCGGUUAACGGUUGUUACGCGGAGCGGGAGGGGGAGCGGCACGCCUCAGCUCCAGGGCAGGCGCUGCACCGCCGCCCUGUGCCACCUGCGGGCGUCCGUCUCCCUCGUACGUCUCCCUUAAAAGGCUCUUCCAGGUUUUUACUAAACUGGAGAUGAGGGCUAGUGUGCCUGCGGCGUCCUGGGGAAGCCCCGCAGUCAUGGUGUUCUCCCUGAGAUCUUUUUUGGAGCAAGGAAUCUUAUCACAGGAUCUUCAGCAAGGCACUAACUGGAUUUGGCAGAAUUUAAGUGACUUGAUGGCUUCACAUCUAAACUGUAAAGAGAAACCAGCAGUAGAACCUAUGAGGAUGCUUGGAUUUGGAGUACCAGUAAAACUUCAGAUGGUCCCUUGGAAUCAGCUGAAACAUAGCAGUAAAUUUAAGCACAAAAUGAAUACAGAAAAGGUAAUUACAAACUGAAUUCAAUGUUCAAAUUUGGCAAAAAUCAACAUUUUUCCUGACCUUGGAAUUAAAGGUUGAAAAGUAAAAUCAGAGAUGUGUAAUCAAGACAAUUUAUAUUCUUUAGUGUAUUCAUUUGUAAAAUACUCUCAAAAGCAAUUAUUUCAGAUUGAAUAAUAGUUGUAAAUUUUAAAAAAAGGCAAAAUGUUAUAUCAUUGUGUGAAUACAUACAAUAAAGAAACAAUUGAGAGGCA
This 739-nucleotide long non-coding RNA is filed under the name Apteryx owenii (little spotted kiwi). RNAcentral describes it as "lncRNA (ENSAOWG00000008637.1)". The record is from RNAcentral. Lineage: Eukaryota; Metazoa; Chordata; Aves; Apterygiformes; Apterygidae.